CCGUGCUGCUCCAUCUCGCGGCAGGCCAGACAUGAAUAACUGUUGUCUCCUUCUUUACUAUCGUUGAAAAAAUAUGGCGGUUGGUGACCACGUUAUGAUUUGGAUUUUGGAUUGUCAACGGUACUUUCCGUGUGUGUUAACCUACAGUAACAAGACCCACGGAUAACAAAAGACGUUUACAUCAAAAGUUCGUAAGGAAAAGAAAGAAAGCUUUUGAAUAAAUUUACGAAAAGGACGAAAAGAGCUUGCGAAAUGUGAACGUACGGUAUGAAUGCAGGAUAUCAGCCAGAGGUCAUUCAGGCCCACUUUAAAUUAAACAAGCAUUAUUAAGCAUGUUCUAUGAGGACCUUGGAGAGUAUGAAAAGUGAUACCAGUUAUCUUUGAUAGCUGCAUAUUUAUCUCCUCAAGAUGCCGAUGAAUGGCUACGAUUAGCCGAGGUUUGUUUGAGUAAAAAAGAUGAGCUGCAGGUGCAAAUGCUUUGCCAAAGCUUUUCAAAGCAUUUAAUAGCAGUAGGCCUGUCAUGAUCAGAACUAUGGAAAAUAUUCUGUCCACCAGGGAAUGACGCCUUAGGAGAAAGAACUGCGGUUGCGAUCUUCAACAAUAUUGCGUAACAAUAUUGCGUCUUUGCGAUACGAAUCACUUGUAAUCUAAAAUUGAGCGAAGAUGGUCGACGAGAGUAGCAACCUGCAACCCAGAAGCUGCUCAACUCUAGAAGGCGUUGAGCGAAGAUGAAAUCAAAGUAAAUUGCAGUUGGUUCCGUGUCCUCCACUACCAAAUCAGUCGCUCUGCUCAGAGCCUGAUUGAAGUGAUUGACGAAUUUGAUGAAUUUUGAUGCUUUAAGACUUGGAGACCAUAUUUUCCACCACUUCGAGAAGCUGAGUAACAUUCUACUUGUACAAUGUUAAGAAUGGCACCUUUUGAUAAAAGGAACUUCAACCAUCCAAUCUAGGACUUCCAUCCAAUCGUGCAGGCUGCAAGGAAGUCGCAUUUACCUUUGCUGUGAACAUCAUGAACACAUACACUUUUUGAAGGUUCAUGUUUACAUAGCAGUGGUGUUGCUGUCCAAUGUGGCGUGUUGUUGCAGCCUAUGACAGGGGUGAAAGAUAUCUGCAUCAAGUUGCUGUUCCUUGUGCAUCCAAGGUGCUGGUUUUGUGCUACAGAAGUUGCAUUCAGUAUUGUGUUUAAUUGCUAUUUGUGUCUAUGCAGUUUACCUUUUAUAUUUUGAGAAGGAACAAAAAAAAAGUAAUACGGGGAGGUUUAUGUCAAACAAAUAAUAAACAUGUCCGCGAUUGGGGAAUGAGGAGGAAGUUGGGGUGGGAUAUUUGAUUAUCAUUUACUAAAAGAAGUGAGGUGUGUUUUUAAUGAAUACGCAAUACUUAGUGAUAAAAUCUGUUGUUAACCUAUCUAACCUUCCUCACUUACACAUCCAUUCCUCAAACCCCAUAAACACCAACAUCAAAUCCCACAUCCACUUACAUCCAUUCCUCAAACCCCACAAUCUCCAACAUCAAACCACACAAUUGUUGUAUAUCUAUAACCAUCUAUAUAUAUAAAUAAAUGAAAUGUCAUUGUA
Long non-coding RNA from Daphnia pulex (common water flea), 1573 nucleotides. RefSeq lists it as uncharacterized. Lineage: Eukaryota; Metazoa; Arthropoda; Branchiopoda; Diplostraca; Daphniidae. The transcript is spliced from 9 exons. The record is from RefSeq and is a predicted model, not a curated record.